GAUGAACGCUGGCGGCGUGCCUAAUACAUGCAAGUCGAGCGAACAGAUAAGGAGCUUGCUCCUUUGACGUUAGCGGCGGACGGGUGAGUAACACGUGGGUAACCUACCUAUAAGACUGGGAUAACUUCGGGAAACCGGAGCUAAUACCGGAUAAUAUUUCGAACCGCAUGGUUCGAUAGUGAAAGAUGGUUUUGCUAUCACUUAUAGAUGGACCCGCGCCGUAUUAGCUAGUUGGUAAGGUAACGGCUUACCAAGGCGACGAUACGUAGCCGACCUGAGAGGGUGAUCGGCCACACUGGAACUGAGACACGGUCCAUACUCCUACGGGAGGCAGCAGUAGGGAAUCUUCCGCAAUGGGCGAAAGCCUGACGGAGCAACGCCGCGUGAGUGAUGAAGGUCUUCGGAUCGUAAAACUCUGUUAUUAGGGAAGAACAUACGUGUAAGUAACUGUGCACGUCUUGACGGUACCUAAUCAGAAAGCCACGGCUAACUACGUG
This 497-nucleotide ribosomal RNA is filed under the name uncultured bacterium. Its description in RNAcentral is "partial 16S ribosomal RNA". It matches the Rfam family "Bacterial small subunit ribosomal RNA", at positions 28 to 507 of the family's 1533-position model. The record is from RNAcentral.